GUUUAAAAUUUCAGGGAAUGGGUGUACUGGUUGCGGAGUCUGUGGAAAAUCAGAAUCAGACUGGUGUAGUUGUUGAUAAGAAGAAAAACCGUCGAUCUAGACGAUCUAAGCAAAAUUCUCCUCCAACAGCAAGUAGUUCGCUGACUGGCUGUCUUGGGGAAUCAAAUUUUAAGGGAGGUGUUCCCAUCUUGGAUCACGACGGAUCUAAAGAGUUUUCAUUGCCUAGAGCAUCAAACAUUGCCUUUACUUCCUUGCCCACGUUGCGUUUAAAUGAACAGUCAGCAGAGACAGGAAGUCUCCCUGUGCAGCUAACAUUUUCACCGGGUGUUGGUGGACAAGUAUAUUCCGGUUCAUGCCCAGACUAUAUUGCUUAUGGUGACCAGUCAAUUACUUCUUACCCACAGAGGAAAUAUUUUUCUUCACAUUGGCCAGCAGAAGCCGUUCACAAAGCAUUGGAGAG
This 460-nucleotide unclassified non-coding RNA is filed under the name Hevea brasiliensis (rubber tree). Lineage: Eukaryota; Viridiplantae; Streptophyta; Magnoliopsida; Malpighiales; Euphorbiaceae. The record is from RNAcentral.